This 460-nucleotide ribosomal RNA is filed under the name uncultured bacterium. Its description in RNAcentral is "partial 16S ribosomal RNA". It matches the Rfam family "Bacterial small subunit ribosomal RNA", at positions 338 to 795 of the family's 1533-position model. The record is from RNAcentral.
CCUACGGGUGGCAGCAGUGAGGAAUAUUGGUCAAUGGACGAGAGUCUGAACCAGCCAAGUAGCGUGAAGGAUGACUGCCCUAUGGGUUGUAAACUUCUUUUAUAUGGGAAUAAAAUGUUCCACGUGUGGGAUUUUGUAUGUACCAUAUGAAUAAGGAUCGGCUAACUCCGUGCCAGCAGCCGCGGUAAUACGGAGGAUCCGAGCGUUAUCCGGAUUUAUUGGGUUUAAAGGGAGCGUAGGUAGAUUGUUAAGUCAGUUGUGAAAGUUUGCGGCUCAACCGUAAAAUUGCAGUUGAAACUGGCAGUCUUGAGUACAGUAGAGGUGGGCGGAAUGCGUGGUGUAGCGGUGAAAUGCUUAGAUAUCACGAAGAACUCCGAUUGCGAAGGCAGUUCACUGGACUGCAACUGACACUGAGGCUCGAAAGUGUGGGUAUCAAACAGGAUUAGAUACCCCAGUAGUC